AAAUCCACUAGCGGUGAAUUUGACCCGGGAGUUUUACGGACUUCGGUCGGUUUAAAUCCGAGACGAAGAACCGCCGCGCCCGGUGAACGCGUCGCGCCUUCGGUUCCAGCGAGAAUUCGUUGGUUUUUUUCCGCGUUAAAUCAGCAACGGUUUUUCACACGCGCCGUGUCUGAUUGAAGAUCCGGAUUUCCCUGCCACCCGGCAGUGUUUCCACUUUGUUUUCUAGAGUCUCGACGGUUUUUACCGUCAACGAAUAUACUUUGAGAAAAACCUAUGACCGACGAAAUCACGAUAUAAUACGCGGGUUUUAUUAUUCGCCGUUGUCCGGGUCGCGGGUACACGACUAC
Cinara cedri is the source of this 347-nucleotide non-coding RNA. Lineage: Eukaryota; Metazoa; Arthropoda; Insecta; Hemiptera; Aphididae. The record is from the annotation of a GenBank genome assembly.